AUUUCUGGGAUUGGUGCCAUGACAAUGGAAGACAGAAGACAAGACAAAGGCAUAACUUUCCGUAAGCAUUUCAUGGACCAGGCGAAUGCAGCUGGAUGGGGAAGCCUGUUGCACAAGGAGGUUCCAACAAGCAGAACAAAAGCCCAGGCUAGACUAUGCGCUGUGGCAUAUUAGUCAGCCUAAACACUGCCCAUUUUUUGGAGGUGAUUUAAGGCCUUGGAUAUUCAGGAAGAUGGUGAAGAUUUGGAGGUAUGCUGACUGCAACAAAGGAGGUGGGCUCUCCCGGAAAGAAAACAACCAAUCAACCACAAAGAUUUCUAACACUCAUUUGGAGAACCUCCAGAGCAUCCGGAGAAACCUUUUUAAUUGGUGCAAUGACAAAACUUGGAACCUUUGAAAAACAUUCCUUUGGUGUGGCUUGGAUUCCUAGGGACAUGACUGGAGUGGUUAUUCUUGACAUGCCCUGUAUAAAGUGCAUAGUAUUUUGGAGGCUACAUAGAUGCAAUGACAAAAUUGGAUAUUCUGCCAUAUUUACAAUUCAUUGUACUGCUUAUAUCUGAAAAGUCACAUGAGUUUGGUGAUACGGUUUGGCUCCGUGUCCCCACCCAAAUCUCAUGCUGAAUUGUAAUCCCCAAUGUUAAGGGAGGGACCUGGUGGGAGGUGAUGGGAUCAUGGGUGCAGAUUUCCCCAUUGCUGUUCUUGUGUUAGUGAGUUCUCAUGAGAUCUAGUUGUUUGAACGUGUGUGGCACCUCCCCCUUUGCUCUCUCUCUCUCUUCCUGUCAUGCGAAGAAGGUGCUUGCUUCCCCUUCACUCUUCCACCAUGGUUGUACAUUUCCUGAGGCCUCCCCAGCCAUGCUUCUUGAACACCCUGUGGAACUGUG
RNAcentral lists this long non-coding RNA (881 nucleotides) under Pan troglodytes (chimpanzee). RNAcentral's name for it is "long non-coding RNA NONPTRT003381". The record is from RNAcentral. Lineage: Eukaryota; Metazoa; Chordata; Mammalia; Primates; Hominidae.